CCACAGCGCCAUAUAGCUUCACAAACAGACAAGGAUGGCGAUCAAAUCCACGUAGCUGCAGAUACCGGUGAACAAAUCGAGUAUGAUGAACAAAUUAAUGCAUAUACAGGAACUCGUGAGCAGUUGGAGUUGGCCAUAAACGAAGGGGUUAAGAACUUCCACGUGCAGGAAAACAGACCUGAGGAUGACAGCGAGGAUGACAAUGAAGAUGACACUGAAGAUGACAAUGAAGAGCCUCUGCCAUGGAAGCUGUUCUUGUUCAACAUUGACACUUUUAAGAUCCCAAUUCAGGACAGAGAAAGGCACACUACCGAAGAACUGGAAGACGUCACAGAACCGUCCUUGCCAGGCAGUUCUCCUGUCAACAAUGCAAAACUGGUGCCUAAAACAAAGAAGCGCGGACUUGGAAGAAGACUGUUGAAGUUUCUGGGAGUGAAAUAAAACACCUGUGAAUGAGCAUGAAUACAAUGCAAAUCCUUUUUAAGUUUUCUGUGUUAUAUCUAAAAAGUUUG
This is a long non-coding RNA of Ostrea edulis (European flat oyster), 512 nucleotides long. RefSeq lists it as uncharacterized. The transcript has 4 exons. Lineage: Eukaryota; Metazoa; Mollusca; Bivalvia; Ostreida; Ostreidae. The record is from RefSeq and is a predicted model, not a curated record.